This 289-nucleotide long non-coding RNA is filed under the name Helianthus annuus (common sunflower). Its description in RNAcentral is "sRNA HanXRQr2_Chr16g0777991". The record is from RNAcentral. Lineage: Eukaryota; Viridiplantae; Streptophyta; Magnoliopsida; Asterales; Asteraceae.
UGACUGUUGUUAUCCAAGGAAGAAUUGCUUUCUUCAAAGGCAUCAUCAGAUUCAUCAUCUGAAGACGCAACACUCGAAACAUCCGAUGAAAACGAAUCAUCUUCUUGAUCAUUAUAACCCAUGAACCCGAUCUUGUUUUCUUGAUCUAAUGAAGAAGAACCCAUCUGCAUCACCAUCAUGCUAUGAAGGUAUGAAUGAACGAUCUUCUCUUAGAUAUAUAAUCUUGAACCCAAAGUUAAAGUGAGAGAUGAGGAGGAUUUAAAGGCGUGAUUGAUUGGAUAAGGGUACA